This 77-nucleotide transfer RNA is filed under the name Clostridia bacterium. Its description in RNAcentral is "tRNA-Arg". It matches the Rfam family "tRNA". Rfam says of the family: Transfer RNA (tRNA) molecules are approximately 80 nucleotides in length. Their secondary structure includes four short double-helical elements and three loops (D, anti-codon, and T loops). The record is from RNAcentral. RNAcentral also lists the same sequence under 1 other name. Lineage: Bacteria; Bacillati; Bacillota; Clostridia.
GCGCUUGUAGCUCAGCUGGAUAGAGCAACUGCCUUCUAAGCAGUGGGUCGGGGGUUCGAGUCCCUCCAAGCGCGCCA